UGGAAACCAGACACCGGCGGGUGCUCCACAGGGCGCUCUGCAAGCUGUUGCCACGUUUAAAAGUUUUUCAGGAUGCUGACGUUAUUAUAUUCUUCUGCAGACGAGGCCUGGCUUUAUAAAAGGACAAGAAUCAGUCAGAGCAGAGCAUAAAGGCUACAGAAAGUAUUAAAAAAAUAAACAAAGAAAAAAAGGAGGAGAAGAAAAAUAGCCACUGGCUAAUGCAGAAUUCAGAAAUCUUAGAAUACACACAUGCAAUGUUAAUUUUCUUGCUUGGAUGAACUGGUUAGAGUGUGUGGGCCAAAGAGAAGAAAUUGAAAGAACCAUGAGGCAAAAGAGAAUGUGCUGGAGAAACUAAGAGCCUUUGCCAAAGUUUCAGAAAACUGCGAUCCUCUCUCUGAUGACCAAGGACAGUUGUAAGCCUCUACAAAUGGAUAGUGAGAGACUUGGACACUGAGGUUUGAUUUUUAUGUGAAAUGGAACCUUGCAUCUAUUCAAGGAGAAAAAUAAACUGACAGGAACAAGAAUCCUAAAGAAAAAACAGGGUAGGCAGAGGGGUAUGGAUCAUCUAGAGAAUACUCUAUCUAAACAGAAGUGAGAAAAAUGAACUCAUGAACUUGGCAGAAUGACGAAUCACCCAUACACAACAAUUUCAUCUCAAAAAACAAAAGCCCGAAGCUAGUUUUAGAUUUAGAUUUUACCUUAUAAUUAAGAUUUUUGCAAGAUAGCUUCCACAACAAUGUAAAGAAAUGGUCUUUUUCUGUGGGAUUUGUGACUUUUUUUUCAGUUUUCAGAAAGUGAACUUUAAAUUUUUGUAUUGUCAUAUUUAACACAAGAAAACCUGAUAAUAUUAAUAUUUUUAAAUGUAGGAGUUGAUUAUAAUGUAUGGUUGUAUAUUCUUAAUGGAAAGUGAUCUCUACAUUGAUCGACUGAUCAGAGAAAUUUUAUGCCCUAAGUGUACUGGAACAUGAUACCAAAAAUAAAGGUGCAUUUAUGAAAUGAUUCUGAAUUUUUUUUAAGAAACAGGGUUUCCUAUGGUCAUGCAUAUUUAAUUUAUUUAGUAGAGUUGGUCUUUUAUUCAUUGGCUUUACACUGAAGUUUUCAGAAUAGUACCGCUCUGGUGCUGUAGUUAAAAAAAUUAGUCAUUCACUAAAAAAUUAGUCACAUUACUGCUGUGGAACAAAGAAGCCAUGGGAGUUCCUAGUUAAUGCAAGCAAAGGUAUUGGAGUAACAUUAAGCUUUGUUUGACCCAACUCUUUAGCUAUUUUAAGAAAGAAAAGCUUUAGCUUCUAGUUUUGAUGACUCCAUCUUGUAUCAAUGUACUUUAGAGUAAUAGGCUUAUAAUUACAAUGUUAUGGCUUUUAAAAGUAUUAAUAAAUCAAAAAUCUUGAGAUGAUAUAUCAGAACUGGAGUAGUUCCUCUUAUCCAUGGGGGAAAUGUUCCAAAACUCCCAGUGGAUGCCAGAAACCACAGAUAUUACCUAAGUCUAAAUAUACUGUUUUUUCCUAUACAUACAUACUCGUGAUAAAGUUUAAUGUAUAAAUUAGGCACAGGAAGAAAUUAAUAACAAUAACUAAUAAUAAUGUUGGCUUUGGGGCCAUUAUUAAGUAAAAUAAGUGUUACUUGAACACAAGUACUGUGAUACUAUGACAGUUGAUCUGAUAACAGAGAUGGCUACUAAUUGACUAAGGAGUGGGUAGCAUAUACAGUGUGGAUACGCUUGGCAGAUGGAUGAUUCACAUCCUGGGCAAGUUGGAGUAGGAUGAUGCAAGAUUUCAUCAUACUACUCAUAAUGGUGUACAAUUUAAAACUUAUGAAUUGUUUAUUUCUGGAAAUUUCCAUUGAAUAUUUUCAGACCAACUUGACCGAGGGUAACUGAAAUCAUAGAAAGUGAAACCAUGGAUAAGGGGGGGCUAUACACUCUUUUCUAGUUAUUUGCAUAUUUUAUUAUUGAAUACUACAUUUUUUUCAAGUGAGAAUGUCUUAUAUUGUAUUAAUCCUGUAAAUCUCUCCUGAUUUCCAUGCUUCCCUUCUGCUAAUUUGCAUUCUUUGAUUGUAAUGUUUGGGCUAGCAGUAGACAGGCAGAGAAUAAUUAGAUUUUAGUUCAAUAUUUAAAACUGCUAAAAGCUUUUUAGCAAUCCACACUCAUUCCCUGAUUCUAUAACCCAAAUAGUUACCAUACUAGUUCACAUUUGGAUUCAACCUCAUGUUACAAAAGCAACUCGUUAUAUUUCUCCUAACCCAAGCCCUCUCAACUUCCACUAAAUUCUUUCAACUUCCAUUACUUCUUGUGUAGUGAUUGGCUCCAUGAUCAUCCCAGAAACCUGAGAUUGUCAUGAAUUUUUUCCUGUCUCUUGCUUUUUGCAUCAAUUGCUGUAGCCUGUUGGUCCUUUUUUUUCCUAAAUACUUCUCAUAUCUCUCCUUGCUUCCCCAUCCCUACUGCCACAUUUCUAGCUCAGGCAUUAAACAUCUGUCACCUGCCCUGGAACAAUCAUCUUAGCUGGCCUUUCUGCUUCUAGAAUGACACCAUCCUGUUGAAGCUCCAUACUGCAUCCAGAGUAAUCUUUGUAACAAGGACGUGUGAUCAUAUCGCUUACUUCCAUACACUUCUUCACUGGUUCCCCAUUGCUUACAGGGUAGAUUUUAAAUCUUGUCACAUGGCGUAUAAUACCCUGCCUCUCUCUGCAGCUUCAACCAUUAGGACUCCCAUGCUUUCAUUUUAUACACCACAAAUACUCAACUACUUGUAAUCCCCGGCACACCCCACUGUCACAAGACUCUGAGCCUUUGCUCAGCCUUUUCACACUGCUUGGAAAUUGCUUCCCCACCAGUCUAUCUGAUAAAUAUCUGCUCUUUCUGCAUGCUUUUGUAAGAUACCCACAAAUCCUUCUUCUCUUCCAUCAUUCAGAACUUCAUCACUCUAGUUGAUCUCUGAGGCCAUCAGGACUAUUCCCAACACGCCUUUGAUUUCUGUGUAUUUUAUUCCCCACUUGAAGCCCUGGACUCUCAAGCCCGUAAGACGUGUGUUUGACCUCAUCUGACUCCAUUUUUUAGCCGUAUUCCCAAUUUCAUUCCCUAAACUCUGCUAGUGCACUCUUUGGAACUUGUGACUUGUUCUUAUUAAAAUAUCUUAUAUCUUCAACUUCUUCGUUAAACAUUUCUUUUACCUUCAUGUUCUAAUAAGACUUGGUUGUACAUUGAUCACACUGUUUUUCAUGUAACUUUCUCAGGUAGUGGCUUUGUUUUUUCUCCUAUGACCCUUGUGCCUCUGAGCCUGAAAUUGGAAUAAAUGCUCUUUUUCUUUCUCUCUGUUAUGUCCAGAACAUAGUCCCUCCCUCCUUCCAAAAAGCCUCCAGUGUUAAAGCUUCUGCCGUUAGAUUAUGUCAUUCGCUAUUAUUGUUUCUGUUAACUACACACAGGCCAAUCUCUCUAUUCCUUGAAUAUUUACGUACUGGUUCACUAUCACUUUCUCUAGCACAGCAAAUAGAAAAUUUUGAUGGUUUCGAUAUUCAUAUAGAUUCAAGUAGAUGAGUCUUGCAGUUCCCCGCUCUGGUUUCCCAACUCCUUGACUUCCCUUUAUUUACCCUAUUUUUUCACACUAAAAUGGCCAACCACUCUCAUUUUCUUACUCUAAACUAGCCAUAAUCAACAGCUGCACUCCUCUCUCCAUAAUUUCAAUUGUAAGUAUCCUGCUUUCCUUUCCUUUCCAGCAUUUUAUUACAUAAAAAGUUUUCAAACAUAUGGGGAAAAGUUGAAAGAAUUUUACAAUAAACACCUGUAUAUUGACCACCAAGAUUCUGUCAUUAACAUUUUACUGUAUUUGCUUUACGACAUUAUCUAUCUAUCUACCCCUCUCUCCAUCAUUAAUCCAUCUUAUUUUAGGUGACUUUGAAAGUAAAUUGCAGACAUCAGUAAACUUCUCCUUUAUUACCUCAGAUUGAAUAUCAUUAUCUACAGUUUAAUAUUUGUUUACAAUAAUAGUAAUUCUGUCUCUCACACAUGCACGUAAUUAUUUGUGUCCUGCUUUAUCACCGGAUUGUGAUCUCGUUGAGAACAUCUCCAUGAUCCACUUAUGUUUUUAUCCCUAGUGGCUAGCACAGGAGCAUUUAGUAGGUAAUAAAUAAAUGCUAGUUGAAUGCAUGUAGGUCUCUUCUCACAGUAAUAUUAAUCUAGUUAGUUAAGAUAAUAAGAUAAAUCCCCCUGGAUCACUCAAAUCCAGAAUUAAGUUACUUUGACAAAUCUGGCAGGAAACAUUCCCAGGAUGUGGGGACACUUAGCCUGCGUUCAUAGACAAGUCACACUUUUUCUUGAAAUGCUUUUCUCACAUUUCAUUGCAUCCUACAGAAGUGAUAAAAUUGAAAGUUACUGCAUGAGCAAAAGGCAUAAUGCUUAACUGGUUUCUUCAGAAAGUCAUGCUUAUUGCUGUCGUUACAUUUAUUUUCUAUUAUGGCUAAGUAGAGGCUAAUAUUUUUAUUAUUAGUUUAGUAUGCCUAGAAUAAUUAUGGUUAUAGUCUCUUAAUAUAGAAUUACUUCUAGAGUACAUUUUACCUUUGAGCUUAGUUAAGAAAAACUGUAUCUUAUAUAGCAGAAAAAUACCAUUAAGGAAUAAAAUGUUCAUGUCAAAUCUUAUUAGGUUACAUGGAUCAGACAUUUAAUAAACUGGAUACAACCUGACUUGGCAUUUAGACAUCUGUAUUGAUUUUCCAUGGUUGCCUACAGUAUAAGUUAUACUAAUGCCAUCAUCUUAAUAAGAAAAUUAGGACUGUGUAAUAUACUAUACUCCCAACAAUGUAAUUGGAUAAUUUAUCCCUCUUCCUAAGAGAAUCAGUGAGCAUACUUACUGAACAGAUGCAAAGAAAGAGAAAUGUGUGAGAUGCUCUGACAGGAUGAUGCCAUCCACAAUACUAAACAAGAAGCAUGUGUCAUAAAUGUGAACCUUAUAUAAUAGAAUAACACCUUUUAAAACACAAGUGUGAUAAUAAAACCAUCUGCUUCAUAAUGAGCUUGCAAAGUACAUCUGGUGUUGCUAUAUUGUCUUACCAAAUUGUUCCUAAAUGCAUUUUAAAAACAUAAAGUGAAUACAGAUAGUUUAUAGGUUGAGAGACUAAAUGUCCAGAUGGCUUCCUUUAGUACUUUUACUAAUUUCAUCGUUGUAUUUCUUAAUUAAGCUCUCUCAGUAAGCAUGUAACUGUUAAAAACACAUUGAUUAAAUGAGUGUUUGAAGGACUCAGAUAAGUAGUGUUUUCAAUUUGGUUGUGUAAGUUGAGUACAGUUUUACUUCUACUUAGUUAUUCCUUUCCAAUAAAAUAAAUGAAAAGACAACAUCACUAGAGUCCUUAUUUCAAUCAUAAUAACAUGUACAAUAUGACUAUACUGUUAGAGGAAAUAGCAAAGCUCAAAAUGGUAAAUUAAUGUAGAGCAGACAGUGGGUUAUGACUAAAAGGCACUUAAAAACUUAGUCUAAAUUCAGAAGACACCCUUAAUGUUAAUUGUUUUUGACAUCAGAUAAUUUACUAUGUCUUUAGUAAGUAACAUUUGAGUUGGGAAUAAUUAUUUUCUGGUUCAUCAAUAUUUCACAGGCAAAGUUCUUCUCUAUACUAGUUGGGGAAAAACUGCAAAGAAUUUACGCGUGCUAGAAGGUUAUUUUAAUAAUCAUAUGGACGACUCUUUUCGUUAUAACCUUUCUCUUGUGAGAGUUGAACUGUUUCCUUAGUUAGGAUUUACUUUUGCAUGUGUGUGUCUCUCCUGUCAAUAUAUUUGUUUUCAGUAAACUCUCAUUCCUUUCGCCGUCCUGGCAGGAGAGGAAGGAGUCUUUCUGUUAGAAUAGUUUACCAACUCUUAAAAUCAACAUUUAAAAAUAUUUAAUUUCUUAUCUGGCGUUGAUGACAAUGUGAGCAAAAGGCCAGUGCUCUUGGUAGGUGUGUAAUACUCUAAUAUUCUAGUCAUUAUUAGAGAAAUUUAAUGAUAUGUGUUAAAAUGUAAAAUAUUUAUGUACUCUGAUUUAGCAAUCUUAUUUUGAGAACUAUAGGUACACUUUGCAAAUGUACACAGACAUAUUUACAAUAUACUCUUAUUCAUUGAUAGUAUUCCUUGUACUCUAAUUGUGAAAACUUGGAAACGAAAAAUUGUUGGUAAUAAGGGACAAGUUAAAUAAAUUAUGUUCUGUAUGCUCAUCUUUUUGUUAAAAGGAACCCAAAGCUAUUAAAUGCUUUAAAUGCUUAAAAACAAAGAAAAAUAUAAAACAAACACAAAACGCAGUUAAAAUGAUUCUGUACGCUUUUUAAAAUCUAAUUUGUUUUCUUACUUUGGAUUUGGAUCAUAGGAGACUUCUUUCUAUGUUACAUAGUUCAAUUAUACUUAAAUAUUGUAUGACCAGCAUGCGUUACUAUUAUAAACUGACAAAUAAUAAAGAUAAUGAACUAUUUCAAUGGUUGCAAUGAAUACUUGGAGUGACUUCAAUUCCUUUAUCUCCCUUACUCCUACAUGCAACAAUUGUUAACCCUUUCAUUUCAUCUGCUUUUGAAAUCUUUCUCAUCCUUUGCUAUUUUAAAAUCCAACCCUUCUCAUAACACACCUGUUACCCUUUCAAUGCUAAUGUAAGAGUCGACAUAAUUGCACUAUUUUUUUUUAGGGUAACUAUUUUUACUCCGAUUUCCGUUGAACAUUUCUUUCUGAAAAUUUAUUUUGCAUUCAGAAUAAUUUGCUUCCUGUAUAGAAUCAACAGACCUGGUGUUGGUGGUCUUAUUUUUAAUCACUUCCGCAAUGUAGUUAAUCCAGCACAUCCUAGGCUUUUACCCCCCUUGCCCUAGAAGUGUCUGCUGUGAAAACUGUAGAAUUAAUUUGUCGUACAAUUAAAUGCCAUUAGAUUGAUAACACAGACACUCACACUCUCACAGACACAAUUAAAAAAUAAAAGCUAAGAGACUGUGAAAAACAUUGAAAUAAAAAACAGUGCAGGAUUUAAGCAGUAUAUAUACUUCUUAUCUCUAAGAAAAUUCCAGUUGAAUUCACCAUCACUAGCUAUAGACAGUAGAGGCCUUGACAUCUAUAGCUUCACAAAUGAGUAUCCUAAAGUUCUUUAAGGAAAAGCAUGGAGCAAAUGCAAUUAGAAUUAGAGCUUUUAAGAGUCAGAAUGGAUUUUGGUAAUAUAAGAAUACUAACUUCCACUUUCUAUUUUAGGUAAGGUCUAAACUAAUAGGUAAAGUAAUAAAUAUAUAGUAUUAUUUCAAAAACUUUGAAGAUAAGCACUUGGAUAAGUAAGAAUAAUUAUAUAACCAGCCCAAAUAAGAUGAUAGAAAAGAAAAUGAGGAGGGAGAAAUUGAAAGUAUUAAAAUUUCCUAUUUCUUGAUAGUGAGUGGCAGUGGUAGUAAAUGGCCACUUUCUAAAGACAUGUGGAAUUAAAUAUAUAUUAUAAAGUUGUAUUUAUAAUGGAAAGUAUAUGGCUAAAAACAGGAUGAUAAACUUCUAAGUUAUUAAGACAAAAACAUAUUCACUUUCUAUAUAUUCUAAAUUAUUAUGACAAAACACUUAAAGUCACUUGAUCUCAAAUGAUAAAGCAUCCUCAGAAAGAAUUACUCCAGCAAAAGAAAAAUGGAUGAGGUAAUAGUGUAAUUCAGAAAUCGGUAGGGAGAAAAUAAAUUAGGAAACUUAUUGCUAACUCUAAGUAUAGAAUGUUUAAAAUGCUUAAAAACAAUUUGAAAUGAAAAUCCCAAUCUAUAUCAACAUGGGAGAUUGAGGGACCAGAGCAAGUAGAGAGAAAGAAUAAGAGAGAAAUACCAUAUUAAUGUUCUUGUCCUGUUGGAAUGAAGUCCAUAUUAAUGAACUCUAGAUAUAAUAAAAAAAAAUGAAGUGAUAAAAAUUUACUAAUGACCAGAAGAAAACAGUAGAGUGUAUGAUUUAAAACCAAUAGAGGAAAAAAGAACAAAAAAACACAAGCCCCCCCCCCCCACCAAAAUAAAAAGAUACAGAAGAAAAAGCAAGAAGUAGAGUGAAAACAAAACAACAAAAUGAAAUAGUGGAGAGAAAUACAAACAUAUUGGUAACUGCAGUAAAAGUGAAUAUGGUAAAUGCACCUAUUAAAAGAAACAGGUGCUCAAAUUAAUUGUUUUUUUUUCCUGAGGAAGAUUAUCCCUGACCUAACAUCUGUGCCAGUCUUUCUCCACUUUGUAU
Long non-coding RNA from Equus caballus (horse), 8166 nucleotides. RefSeq lists it as uncharacterized. NCBI's taxonomy places the organism in Eukaryota, Metazoa, Chordata, Mammalia, Perissodactyla, Equidae. The record is from RefSeq and is a predicted model, not a curated record.